Non-coding RNA from Punica granatum (pomegranate), 1196 nucleotides. The record is from RefSeq and is a predicted model, not a curated record. Lineage: Eukaryota; Viridiplantae; Streptophyta; Magnoliopsida; Myrtales; Lythraceae.
UGUCUCUUUAAAUUAACAAAAGAAAAACAAAAUUCAAUCACAUGUACUCCCUCUUAAUAAUGCUUCUCGUUCAUGGCAAUGCAUGUGGGAAUAUAUAGGUUUCUUUACUUCUUAGUAAAAGGGGUCGGAGCCACUAGCACAACAACCUUGGCAAGGCGUAAUCAUGUGGCCUCAAUAUUGUCACAUCAUGUUCGGCGACCCCGAACGAACCUUUACAAAAGGUUGGCCUUAGCUUCUCUCCUGUUACAUUUGCUUCACAUGCAUCAUAAAAAGGUAUGGAAGAAGUAGUGAAGAAAAAGAAGAAGAAGAAAAGAAAGAAGAAGAAAAAGAAGAGGAGAUGGAGAUAGUCAUUGUUGGUGGGGACAUUGGUGGCCUUGGCCACUGCCCUUGCUCUUCAUAGGGAAGUUAUUACAUGUUUGGUGCUCGAAAGAUCUGACUCCUUACGUGCAACUGGAGCAGCCAUGACCAGCUUCAGGACUAGUGGGUGGCAUGCCCUCGAUUAUCUCCGGAUCGCCUCGUCGCUUAGGCAGACUACAGUCUCUAUUAAAGGGGUCGAUAGUAGAGACUAAAAUAUGGCAUAUAUGUGACGGCAAUGGCAAGCAACGGCAAAGGCACAAAUAGAUAAAUAUAAUAGCUCAUGGAUGGUGCCUGCAGCAUAUAUCUGCCAGAAUCAGUAGUGGUUAACUAUGUGCUUUAUGAUCUAUUUGUUGAGCAAUUGAUCAUUCGAUCCUUGAUCAAUCAUCUCUGACUACUAUAUACGUAUGUAUAUGUAUAUGUAUAUGUAUACAUACCCCGAGGAGAAUGGAACAGAACACAAUCAUAUCGACCCAUUGAGAAGCUUCAUUUGGCUCUGGAGUUCUAUUGCACCAAAAUUGAGAGUUUGAUAUAAUUGAUUUGUCAAAUUAGGGGAAAAAAAUAGCAUGAGUGUGAGAGCAUUCUCUAGCAUGAUUUGGAAGAAGGGGCAAUUAAAUAUUUAUUAAUGAAGCUUCUUUAGAAUGACAAGAUCUUGGAUCAGUCUUUUGUGGCUGCUAAUUAAACAUUGCGACUUUCGUCCCAGAUCGUGGCGUCCGGACGAGUCAUGUCGCGGCUUGAUGCGAACAAAAUAUAAAUCCAGUAUCUUUGAAUUUCCAACACUCACCAUGGAAAUAUAUUAUCCUUUUCCUUAUUAUACCAUUUCCCAAGAAAGGGAUACUUUU